Molecule: ribosomal RNA, 446 nt
Filed under: uncultured bacterium
Lineage: Bacteria
Description: partial 16S ribosomal RNA
Rfam family: Bacterial small subunit ribosomal RNA
Source: RNAcentral
CCUACGGGUGACUGCAGUCGAGAAUCAUUCACAAUGGGGGAAACCCUGAUGGUGCGACGCCGCGUGGGGGAAUGAAGGUCUUCGGAUUGUAAACCCCUUUCAUGUGGGAGCAAAUUAAAAAGAUAGUACCACAGGAGGAAGAGACGGCCAACUCGGUGCCAGCAGCCUCGGUAAUACAGAGGUCUCAAGCGUUGUUCGGAGUCACUGGGCGUAAAGCGUGCGUAGGCUGUUUCGUAAGUCGCGUGUGAAAGGCGCGGGCUCAACCCGCGGACGGCACAGGAUACUGCGAGACUAGAGUGAAGAAGGGGGAAGCGGAAUUCUAGGUGUAGCAGUGAAAUGCGUAGAUAUAGGGAGGAACACUAGUGGCGAAGGCGGGUUCCUGGACAUUAACUGACGCUGAGGCACGAAGGCCAGGGGAGCGAAAGGGAUUAGAUACCCCAGUAGUC